GAAAAUCGGAGUCUUUUUAUAAUUACCAUUAUGACUAUUUUACCAGCGUGGAAUUUAUAAUUACCAUUAUGACUAUUUUACCCAUAGUGAGUAAGUCUAUUUACAACUGUUUUAUCAAACAAUUCGACAGUUUUACCCUCACAAACAAAGGAAAAUUACAAGCCCACGCAAUCGACAAAAUCUUCAUAACAAAGCUAUCAAAAGUUAUACAAGAAACGGUUCAUCUAUACAAGCGCGCAAAAUUACAGGUCCUUUAAUCCUUUAUUCAUACACAGACGGUUCUAAUUAAAAACCAUUAACGUUGCAUCCUCUGCCAUGCAACAUUAAUAUUUACUAUUUUAUUCUCUCCUCAGUCAACCCUCCAUAAACCAGAACGUUAACAUUAUUUUCAGAUGUUACCAUUGAUAUUUUCAAGCAUCGGCAGCCUUCCCAGCAGGUGCUGCCAUGGAACCGGCAAUUGCUUUGGUAUGUUUAGUUCGUGAUCUUUUGGAGCAGGCGUAGCUGAUGCUUGAAAAGAUCCUCAUGCUUGGAAUUUUGCAGCAGCCUUGGUUUAGGCCUUGAUAACUUCACCAGAAACAACCUUGAAAACCAUAUCUAAAA
This 600-nucleotide long non-coding RNA is filed under the name Citrus sinensis (sweet orange). RNAcentral's name for it is "long non-coding RNA (CSIN_LNC002271)". The record is from RNAcentral. Lineage: Eukaryota; Viridiplantae; Streptophyta; Magnoliopsida; Sapindales; Rutaceae.